RNAcentral lists this ribosomal RNA (507 nucleotides) under uncultured bacterium. RNAcentral's name for it is "bacterial SSU rRNA". It matches the Rfam family "Bacterial small subunit ribosomal RNA", at positions 15 to 518 of the family's 1533-position model. The record is from RNAcentral.
GAUCUGGCUCAGGAUGAACGCUGGCGGCGUGCCUAACACAUGCAAGUCGAGCGGAGAUAAGCACCGGAUGAAGAUCUAUCUGAUCCACCGCUUAUCUUAGCGGCGGAUGGGUGAGUAACGCGUGGACAACCUGCCCCCUUGCAGGGGGAUAACAACCGGAAACGGGUGCUAAUACCGCAUAGGCGCGGAGGGCCGCAUGGUCCUCAGCGUAAAGAUUGUAUCGGCAAGGGAUGGAUCCGCGUCGGAUUAACUUGUUGGCGGGGUAACGGCCCACCAAGGUGAUGACCCGUAGCCGGCCUGAGAGGGCGACCGGCCACAUUGGGACUGAGACACGGCCCAAACUCCUACGGGAGGCAGCAGUGGGGGAUAUUGCACAAUGGGCGCAAGCCUGAUGCAGCCGACGCCGCGUGAGCGAAGAAGUGCUUCGGCAUGUAAAGCUCUAUCGGUGGGGAAGAAGAUGACGGUACCCACAGAAGAAGCCCCGGCUAACUACGUGCCAGCCGCAGC